GAUGAACGCUGGCGGCGUGCCUAAUACAUGCAAGUCGAGCGAACGGACGAGAAGCUUGCUUCUCUGAUGUUAGCGGCGGACGGGUGAGUAACACGUGGAUAACCUACCUAUAAGACUGGGAUAACUUCGGGAAACCGGAGCUAAUACCGGAUGAUAUUUUGAACCGCAUGGUUCAAAAGUGAAAGACGGUCUUGCUGUCACUUAUAGAUGGAUCCGCGCUGCAUUAGCUAGUUGGUAAGGUAACGGCUUACCAAGGCAACGAUGCAUAGCCGACCUGAGAGGGUGAUCGGCCACACUGGAACUGAGACACGGUCCAGACUCCUACGGGAGGCAGCAGUAGGGAAUCUUCCGCAAUGGGCGAAAGCCUGACGGAGCAACGCCGCGUGAGUGAUGAAGGUCCUCGGAUCGUAAAACUCUGUUAUUAGGGAAGAACACAUGUGUAAGUAACUGUGCACAUCUUGACGGUACCUAAUCAGAAAGCCACGGCUAACUACGUG
This 497-nucleotide ribosomal RNA is filed under the name uncultured bacterium. RNAcentral's name for it is "partial 16S ribosomal RNA". It matches the Rfam family "Bacterial small subunit ribosomal RNA", at positions 28 to 507 of the family's 1533-position model. The record is from RNAcentral.